Molecule: non-coding RNA, 728 nt
Filed under: Mycoplasmoides gallisepticum S6
Lineage: Bacteria; Bacillati; Mycoplasmatota; Mycoplasmoidales; Mycoplasmoidaceae
Source: RNAcentral
UCGUUGAUUACUAAAUGAUGAUGAGUUCUAAAAUUAAUGAACAAUUUAAAGAUCUCCAUAGCAGGAAUAAUCCCUACACCCAUCCCUAAACUAAUCCCGACUAAAUCAGAACGAUUAACAAAUUGUUCAUCCAUUCUAAACACUGAAGCGAUCGGUCCUGUUAGUGCUACUAAUAAGAUUAAUGAAACUGAGAAUAAAGCACUAAGAUAGAUUAAUCAGUAAUAUCUGAUUGAACUUAAGAAGAUUGAUCGAUCUGACAUUAAGUUUAAACAGUGAAUUGAAGCUGCAAUUCCUAGAACAAUAAAGCCCAUUGAUGAGCCAAUCUCAUUAAAUGAUUUGAAGAUCUCAAUUUGAUCUGAGUAGAUCGCAUAAUUAAUACCAAUACUAUAAGCAGCUAAUGACAUUAAAGCAAUAAAACAUGAUUGUCAUAAAAGAUCAAUUCCCAUUCUUCUAGCAAAGAGAUUUUCAUACUUAUAGUAUGGUCGAACGUUCAUGACGUCGUUUUUUGAUUUUUGGAUCCCCAAAGCGAUCGCUGGAAACCCGUGGGUUAAGAUAUUAAUCCACAAUAACUGGGCUGCUGAUAAUAAACUAAAUUUAGCAAAUAAUCCAGCGGGGGUUUGGUUAAUUAAUGCCAAUUUAGUAGCAAUCUCAGCGUUUGUACUAAUAACAUGACGAUAAAUUGGCACCAUCACAAUUAAACCAAUGAUGAAAACUAACAAUUCAGCCAC